RNAcentral lists this ribosomal RNA (253 nucleotides) under uncultured bacterium. Its description in RNAcentral is "partial 16S ribosomal RNA". It matches the Rfam family "Bacterial small subunit ribosomal RNA", at positions 524 to 776 of the family's 1533-position model. The record is from RNAcentral.
UACGGGGGGGGCAAGCGUUGUUCGGAAUUACUGGGCGUAAAGGGCUCGUAGGUGGCCAACUAAGUCAGACGUGAAAUCCCUCGGCUUAACCGGGGAACUGCGUCUGAUACUGGAUGGCUAGAGUUUGGGAGAGGGAUGCGGAAUUCCAGGUGUAGCGGUGAAAUGCGUAGAUAUCAGGAGGAACACCGGUGGCGAAGGCGGCUUUCUGGACAGACACCGACGCUGAGGCACGAAAGCUAGGGGAGCAAACAGG